CAAAAUGACACAGACAUUAACAACUAUAGGUCACCGUACGGCCUUCAACAAUGAGCAAAGCCCAUACCGCAUAGUCAGCUAUAAAAGGCCCCGAUAAGACAAUGUAAAACAAUUCAAACGAGAAAACUAACGGCCUUAUUUAUGGGGAAAAAAAUGAACGAAAAACAAAUAUGUAACACAUAAACAAACGACAACCACUGAAUAUACAGGUUCCUGACUUGGGACAGGCACAUACAUAAAUAAUGUGGCGGGGUUAAACAUGUUAGCGGGAUCCCAACCCUUCCCCUAACCUGGGACAGUGGUAUAACAGUAUAACAUAAGAACGA
This 326-nucleotide long non-coding RNA is filed under the name Mytilus galloprovincialis (Mediterranean mussel). The record is from RNAcentral. Lineage: Eukaryota; Metazoa; Mollusca; Bivalvia; Mytilida; Mytilidae.